RNAcentral lists this long non-coding RNA (4770 nucleotides) under Hordeum vulgare. Its description in RNAcentral is "long non-coding RNA (HVUL_LNC007389)". The record is from RNAcentral. Lineage: Eukaryota; Viridiplantae; Streptophyta; Magnoliopsida; Poales; Poaceae.
ACGUGAAGAACAACGAGCUAACCCGGAUCGUCGACCGGCUGCACUAGAUGGUGAGCGGCGAGGGGCUAGUGGCCCCGGACCUGGUGGCGGCGUGGCCUUCAUCGCUCCUCGGGUGCAGUCAGUCCAGGAGCGGCCGCACCGAAUCUGCAAGAUGGGGACCCAUCGCCCCCCUGCUAGCCAACGACCUUCGAGUUGGCGCCGACCCUUGUAGUCGGCCGGAUCAACGCCAUUUCCAACUUCAAGUUGGACAUGAUGACGUGGUGGUUCGGCAAGGAGCUGUACAACCGGAGCGACCCGACACCAGUGGUUGUUGGCUUCAAAACGCCAGAUCAGAUCACACGUAUGUCUAUGUGCUAAGCUAGCACACAGCUAGGCAGCUUGAUGGAUCGAUUCUUGCUGGACACGAGUAGCUAGCUCAAUCAGCUAAGCUAGCGACCAUCUCGUCGGUGCUAAUUCAAUCACGACAGAACACGACAACUCGAGGUGAUGGUGAACAGGGCCGUGUCGGUCCUGUGUAUUGCUUUUCUUUUUCUUGGUGAUUUACAACGUGGGUUACAUAGGUAUAUAUAGGAGCUAACUAGUCCAAUAGCUAACCUAGUCGGUUUCCUGUACUAGUCCGUCUCGGACUAAAACUUGAAAAUCCUAAGUCGUGUUUAACUCUAAUAUUCACCCCCUUAAUCAUGGCGUUCUCUUUGUUCCCUACCUGGAUCCCAAAUGCGACUACUUGUAGGCUUCAUCCUGGGCGUUGUCUUCAUCGUUCCUUGUAGACUCCCAGUCACUGCGUUUGCUAUCGUCGGCUCAUUCGGAGCUUGACCACAACACUCCUUCUUAGUCGCAUCUUCUAUCUUCACCUCUUCUUCGGUGCUUUGUAGACUGUCCUUCGAACCAUCGAGGGCACAUCUUUUGAACCCGAGCAUGACCAUACUUUGGUCUAACUUUAAAUUCCAAGCUAUUGGCGCUUGCUUCAGUUCGUAAAGUGCCUUCUUGAGCUUGUAAACUUUCUCUUCUUCACCUUUCUUCUCGUAGCCGAGGGGUUGUUCCACGUACACUUCUUCUGUGAGAUCGCCGUUGAGGAAAGCGGAUUUAACAUCCAUAUGAUGAACCUUCCAAUCCUCUUGUGCUGCCAAAGCUAGGAGCACUCUCACUGUCUCGAGUCGAGCAACCGGUGCAAACACCUCAACAUAUUCAACUCCUUGACGUUGUACGUAGCUCUUUGCAACGAGUCUUGCCUUGUACUUCACAAUGACACCCUCCGUGUCCUUCUUUAACUUGUAAACCCACUUAAAACCAAUCGCCUUUUGGUUCGGAGGUCGGGUUACCAAAGUCCACGUGCCAUUGCUCUCAAUCGCCUUCAUCUCCUCAUCCAUGGCGUGCGUCCAACUAGGACUUUUGCUCGCCUCUACGAAGUUCGCCGGCUCCUCAACUCCGAACAGACAUAGUCCGGAGUACUCGAGCGUAACUGGCUUUGUGUACUUGUAGACUUUCUUGAGGGUCUUGUAGCGACAAGGCCCUGAGGAGUCCGUUGUGGUUUCCGAAGGAGGCGACACAAAUUGUGUCGGUGUUGAUGCACUUGAGGAAGAUGGCUGAGACCCGGGCGUGUCAUCGACAUCCGUGUCGUCGGCGUAGUCGUCGUGACCGUGACCAUCUUGAUUGUCGUCGUCACUAUGCGCCUCGUUGUCGAUGUUGUCGUCGAGAUCUCUGCCCGUGCCGUGCGCGUCGUUGUCGCUAUCUCCUUGCGACCUAUGCGCGUUGUCGGCACCAUGAUGAUCACUACCAUUGUGGUCACCUUGGUUGGGCGUCUUGCCAACCACCUGGACAUCCUCCCCUGCAUCAUCAUCAGUUGGAAAUUCAACCGUGAAUAUGUUACCGUUUGGAGCAUCGUUGGCUGCGACACUCCAAUUCCACGCUUGGUUUUCUUCAAACACGACGUCGCGUGAAAUCCGUAGACGCUUGGUUUGUGGAUCGUAGAAGCGGUAUGCCUUGGUGCUGGAACUCCUCUCGUAUCCGAUGAACACCAUCUUGGUGCUACGAUCGACAAGCUUUGUGAGGUGCGGCUCCGCCGUCUUCACAUAUGCCACGCACCCGAACUUCCGUAGAUGAGACACAUUGGGCUUACGUCCGUAAAUUGCUUCAUACGGAGUCUUGCCGAUCACCGCCUUCGUUGGAGCCCGGUUAAGAUAGACCGCCGUCGAGACAACUUCUCCCCAAAAAGUCCCCGAGAGGUUCUUGCUCUUGAGUAAACUCCUUGCCAUGUCAACGACGGUUCGAUUGCGCCUUUCAACGACCCCGUUCUUCUGUGGCGUGUAAGGUGCCGUGAGGAACCUUUUUAUGCCAAUCUUCUCGCAGUAGUCGUUGAACUCGUUCGACGUAAACUCUUCGCCGCGAUCUGUCCGUAGAGCGCGAACCUUCAGCUUGUGUUCCAUCUCCGUUGCAGCCUUCAGCUUCUUGAACGCUUCAAACGCCUUAUCUUUAGAUCGUAGGAGGACGACCCACAUAUAUCUCGAGUAGUCGUCUACCACAAGGAAGAAAUACUUCUUUCCCGCGUGAGUUGUCGGGGUGAUAGGGCCACAUAGAUCACCAUGGAGCAGCUCGAGUGCAUCACUUGCACAAUAGGUAGACUGAGCAGGGAACAGUCUGCGGUGCUGUUUUCCAACCAAGCACCCGUCACAUACUCGAUCAACAUGGUCGAUAAAUGGCAUCCCGGAUACCAUCUCCAUCUUUGACAUCUUCUUCAAGGCGUAGAAGUUAACGUGUCCAAAUCUAGCAUGCCAUAACCACGAAUCAUCAUCACUCUUGGCGAGUCAACACUCCGGUUGAGAUUGAUCAAGGUUGAGGAUAUAGAGCCUGUUCCGUGUGUGACUAACACGAGCUAGCACGAUUCGGAGGUUGUCGAAGAUCGUCUUCACUCCGUUCUCAAUAUCCACCUUGCAUCCAUUCUCGUCAAGCUUCCCGAUAGAGAUGAUGUUGUUGCGAAGCCGUGGGAUGUAGUACACUCCGGUGAGUAUGCGAUGUUCGCCUGUGAGACCCUCGAAGAGGACAGAUCCUUGCCCACAAAUCUCCACAUUCGAACCAUCACUAAACUUUACCGAGCCUUCAACAUCAUAUUCUAGCUCGAGAAAUUUCUCCUUGCAUCCUGUCAUGUGGUUACUGGCACCCGUGUGGAGAUACCACGACACAUUGUGAUCCCCGGAUAACUUAGGUGUCACAUUCUUCUCAUGAAGUAGUACCUUCCGGCUUGGUUUCACAACCACCGUUUCAGCGAGAUCACAAACUUCGCCCAUCAGAAGACCUGGACCUUCGUCUUCCUGCUUUGCCAAAUUUGCCUUGAUCUCCCGCUUGUCAGGCUCCGGACAAUUCUUUGCAAAGUGACCCAUCUCGUUGCAGUUAUAACACUUGACCUCGGACAUAUCCAAGUUUCGUUGCUUCCGCCCUUUAGAUCGGUCUGCCUUACCACGACCUUGUGGCUUGCCUUUUCCUUUGCCUUCUCCGGUUUGUCCGCUGCGUGUUGCGUUGCUUGAGCCUUCGUUGCCAUCACGCCUUCCUUUGCUACUUGGGGACUCCCAAUCUGCGCGCGAGUGCAUGAGUUGGUCACUACCUCCUCCGUUGCCUUUCCGACAGCCACGAGCAUUCUCUUCCCAUGUCCGCACGCGUCCGAUCGCCUCUGUUAUGGUCAUGUCGUCGAUGUCGUAAAGCUGCUCGAGCGUGCCGAUGAUGUACGUAAAUUUGUCAGUCACCGAACGGAAAAAUUUCUCCACAAUCUCGGUCUCCUCGAGCUUUGCACCAAGCGCGCGGAUCUCUCCCACCAGAGUAGUAAGACGCAUGGCGUAGUCGUUCACCGAUUCAGUUUCCUCCAUCUGCAACUUGUGAAAUUGGCGCUUCAGCACUUGUGCCUGAGCCUUGGUGACGCAAUCUUCUCCGAUCCUCAUCUCCUUGAGUGCGUUCCACGCCUCUCUUGCCGUCUCGAACUCCGCCAAUGUCAUUAGCACAGAAUCCGGCACGGACUGGGCUAUGGCGGCCUUGGCACCUUCGUCGCGCUCCUCGUCGACGUCGUUGUCCGUGAUGGCCUCCCACACUCGAAGGGAUCGGAGAAUAAUCUUCAUCUUCACCACCCACACGCCGUAGUUGACGUCGGUGAGCAUCGGGUACUGGAUGGGGAUGUUGCGAUGCGCCUGGACGUUGGCGCCGCCCGUUCCCCCACCACUGAUUGCUGACUUGCCGCCCUUCUUCACCUUGUCGCCGUUCUUGUUCCCCUUGGCACCGCCGCUGCCGGACUUGACCGAUUCAGCGUCGCUGUCUGUCAUCGUAGAUCGUCGAGGCUCUAGAUACCAAUUGUUGGCUUCAAAACGCCAGAUCAGAUCACACGUAUGUCUAUGUGCUAAGCUAGCACACAACCAGGCAGCUGGAUGGAUCGAUUCUUGCUGGACACGAGUAGCUAGCUUACUCAGCUAAGCUAGCGACCAUCUCGCCGGCGCUAAUUCAAUUUCGACAGAACACGACAAGUCGAGGUGAUGGCGAACAGGGCCGUGUCGGUCCUGUGUAUAGCUUUUCUUUUUCUUGGUGAUUUACAACCUGGGUUACAUAGGUAUAUAUAGGAGCUAACUAGUCCUAUAGCUAACCUAGUCGGUUUCCUGUACUAGUCCGUCUCGGACUAAAACUUGAAAAUCCUAAGCCGUGUUUAACUCUAAUAGUGGUAAGUCUUUGUCGGCACUUAUCUUCCGUUUGCUUUUCUCUUGGUUUUGUUCUCAUGUGCCGUGCCGGCUCCGGCCGCAG